AGAACGAACGCUGGCGGCAGGCUUAACACAUGCAAGUCGAACGCGUGUAGCAAUACACGAGUGGCGCACGGGUGAGUAACGCGUGGAUAUCUGCCUUUUGGUUCGGGAUAACCCCGGGAAACUGGGGCUAAUACCGGAUGGUUCCUACGGGAUAAAGAUUUAUCGCCAAAAGAUGAGUCCGCGUCCGAUUAGCUAGUUGGUGGGGUAAUGGCCUACCAAGGCGACGAUCGGUAGCUGGUCUGAGAGGACGAUCAGCCACACUGGGACUGAGACACGGCCCAGACUCCUACGGGAGGCAGCAGUGGGGAAUAUUGGACAAUGGGGGCAACCCUGAUCCAGCCAUGCCGCGUGAGUGAUGAAGGCCUUCGGGUUGUAAAGCUCUUUUGGCGGGGACGAUGAUGACGGUACCGCAGAAUAAGCCCCGGCUAACUUCGCGCCAGCAGCCG
Molecule: ribosomal RNA, 446 nt
Filed under: uncultured bacterium
Lineage: Bacteria
Description: SSU rRNA
Rfam family: Bacterial small subunit ribosomal RNA
Source: RNAcentral